RNAcentral lists this unclassified non-coding RNA (240 nucleotides) under soil metagenome. RNAcentral describes it as "partial contains 5.8S ribosomal RNA, internal transcribed spacer 2, and large subunit ribosomal RNA". The record is from RNAcentral.
AACCAUAGAAACCUGCGGAGUACCUGCGGAAGGAUCAUUACAGAGUUGCAAAACUCCCUAAACCAUUGUGAACGUUACCUAAACCGUUGCUUCGGCGGGCGGCCCGGGUCCUUCCCGGCGCCCCUCGGCCCUCGCGGGCGCCCGCCGGAGGUAAACCAAACUAUUGCAUUUGUAUGGCCUCUCUGAGUCUUCUGUACUGAAUAAGUCAAAACUUUCAACAACGGAUCUCAGAUCGGAAGA